RNAcentral lists this ribosomal RNA (492 nucleotides) under uncultured bacterium. RNAcentral's name for it is "partial 16S ribosomal RNA". It matches the Rfam family "Bacterial small subunit ribosomal RNA", at positions 30 to 507 of the family's 1533-position model. The record is from RNAcentral.
AGUGAACGCUGGCGGUAGGCCUAACACAUGCAAGUCGAACGGCAGCACAGUAACUUCCUGCUCUUACGCGUGGCGAGUGGCGGACGGGUGAGGAAUACAUCGGAAUCUACUUUUUCGGGGGGGAUAACGUAGGGAAACUUACGCUAAUACCGCAUACGACCUCCGGGUGAAAGCAGGUGAUCUUCGGACCUUGCGCGAUUGAAUGAGCCGAUGUCGGAGUAGUUAGUUGGCGGGGUAAAGGCCCACCAAGGCGACGAUCCGUAGCUGGUGUGAGAGGAGGGUAGGCAGCCUUAGAGGUGGACCACGGUCCCGGCGCCUAAGGGACGGAGCAGUGGGGAAUGUUGGGCAGUGGGCGGAAACCUGAUCCAGCCGGACCAAGUGGGUGAAGAAGGCGUCCGGGUUGGAAAGACGGUUUGUUGGGAGAGAAACGCAGCAGGUUAAUACCCCGCUGUUCUGACGGUACCCAAAGAAUAAGCACCGGCUAACUACGUG